AUGUCGAGGGUUUCCUCAUCAGUCCGACACCACCCUUCCCUCCCACCCCGAACUGCAACCCCGUGGAAUCGGAGGAGCGACACGAUGUCGACCGCGGCGAUGGUGCAGGUCGGCGACGUGCCGGACCCGACGAUGCGGAACCACCUGGAGCAGGACACCCUCGAGUGGAUCUUCGUUGGUGGCAUGGGCGGCGUCGGCAAGACCAUCUGCAGCUCCAUCGUCUCCAUCUACGCCUGUCAGUCCGUGUUCGUCAUCUCCAGUGACCCUGUUCUUCACCCUCAUCAAGGGCUUCUGCAACCUUUACGCCAAGGUGAUUAUUUUCUCCCCUCUCUAUUUGCUUUCCUCCAGUUCACUCCAUCGGCCCUGGGAUCUACG
This 375-nucleotide ribosomal RNA is filed under the name Triticum aestivum (bread wheat). Its description in RNAcentral is "partial small subunit ribosomal RNA". The record is from RNAcentral. Lineage: Eukaryota; Viridiplantae; Streptophyta; Magnoliopsida; Poales; Poaceae.